UACGUAGGGUGCAAGCGUUAAUCGGAAUUACUGGGCGUAAAGCGUGCGCAGGCGGUGAUGUAAGACAGUUGUGAAAUCCCCGGGCUCAACCUGGGAACUGCAUCUGUGACUGCAUUGCUGGAGUGCGGCAGAGGGGGAUGGAAUUCCGCGUGUAGCAGUGAAAUGCGUAGAUAUCGAGAGGAACACCUGCGGCGAAGGCGGGUUGCUGGGCUGAUACUGACGCUGAGGCGCGAAAGCCAGGGGAGCGAACGGG
RNAcentral lists this ribosomal RNA (253 nucleotides) under uncultured bacterium. RNAcentral's name for it is "partial 16S ribosomal RNA". It matches the Rfam family "Bacterial small subunit ribosomal RNA", at positions 524 to 776 of the family's 1533-position model. The record is from RNAcentral.